GACAGCGUGUCCGAGUGGUUAAGCAGGCGGACUUGAAAUCCACUGGGCUCAGCCCACGCAGGUUCGAAUCCUGCCGCUGUCG
This 82-nucleotide transfer RNA is filed under the name Perkinsus olseni. It matches the Rfam family "tRNA". From Rfam's summary of the family: Transfer RNA (tRNA) molecules are approximately 80 nucleotides in length. Lineage: Eukaryota; Perkinsozoa; Perkinsida; Perkinsidae. The record is from Rfam by way of RNAcentral.